Molecule: ribosomal RNA, 247 nt
Filed under: uncultured soil bacterium
Lineage: Bacteria
Description: partial 16S ribosomal RNA
Rfam family: Bacterial small subunit ribosomal RNA
Source: RNAcentral
AGGACGAACGCUGGCGGCGUGCUUAACACAUGCAAGUCGAGCGGUAAGGCCUUUCGGGGUACACGAGCGGCGAACGGGUGAGUAACACGUGGGUGAUCUGCCCUGCACUUCGGGAUAAGCCUGGGAAACUGGGUCUAAUACCGGAUAUGACCUCCUAUCGCAUGGUGGGUGGUGGAAAGAUUUAUCGGUGCAGGAUGGGCCCGCGGCCUAUCAGCUUGUUGGUGGGUAAUGGCCUACCAAGGCGACG